UACGAAGGGGGCAAGCGUUGUCCGGAUUUAUUGGGCGUAAAGCGCGCGUAGGCGGCUUGGCAAGUCAGAUGUGAAAACUCGAGGCUCAACCUCGAGAUGUCGGUGGAAACUGCCUGGCUAGAGUCCGGAAGAGGAGUGUGGAAUUCCUGGUGUAGCGGUGAAAUGCGCAGAUAUCAGGAAGAACACCUAUGGCGAAGGCGGCACUCUGGGCAGUUACUGACGCUGAGACGCGAAAGCGUGGGGAGCUAACAGG
Molecule: ribosomal RNA, 253 nt
Filed under: uncultured bacterium
Lineage: Bacteria
Description: partial 16S ribosomal RNA
Rfam family: Bacterial small subunit ribosomal RNA
Source: RNAcentral